GACAGAGGGUGCAAACGUUGUUCGGAAUUACUGGGCGUAAAGCGUGUGUAGGCGGCCAUAUAAGUCGGAUGUGAAAGCCCUGGGCUCAACCCAGGAAGUGCACUCGAUACUGUGUGGCUCGAGUACUGGAGAGGUUGGUGGAAUUCUCGGUGUAGAGGUGAAAUUCGUAGAUAUCGAGAGGAACACCGGUGGCGAAGGCGGAUCUCUGGGCCAUUACUGACGCUGAGGAGCGAAAGCGUGGGGAGCGAACAGG
RNAcentral lists this ribosomal RNA (253 nucleotides) under uncultured bacterium. Its description in RNAcentral is "partial 16S ribosomal RNA". It matches the Rfam family "Bacterial small subunit ribosomal RNA", at positions 524 to 776 of the family's 1533-position model. The record is from RNAcentral.